UACGUAGGGCGCAAGCAUUGUCCGGAAUUAUUGGGCGUAAAGAGCUCGUAGGCGGCCUGUUGCGUCCGCUGUGAAAUCCCAGGGCUCAACCCGUGGCGUGCAGUGGAUACGGGCAGGCUGGAGGCAGGCAGGGGAGAACGGAAUUCCCGGUGGUAGCGGUGAAAGUGCGCAGAUAUCGGGAGGAACGACCGGGUGGCGAAGGCGGUUCUCUGGGCCUGUACUGACGCUGAGGAGCGAAAGCGUGGGGAGCGAACAGGAUUAGAUACC
This 267-nucleotide ribosomal RNA is filed under the name uncultured bacterium. Its description in RNAcentral is "partial 16S ribosomal RNA". It matches the Rfam family "Bacterial small subunit ribosomal RNA", at positions 524 to 786 of the family's 1533-position model. The record is from RNAcentral.